CACCGCGGUGAGACGGGUGACCCAAGCUGACAGCCCCCGGCGUAAAGGGUGGUUAGGGUAUAUUUAAAUUAAAGCCGAACGCCCUUAAAGCCGUGAAAAGCAUAAAAAGGUAUGAAGGUCAAUUACGAAAGUAGCUUUAUUAUUCCUGACUCCACGAAAGCUAAGGCA
Molecule: ribosomal RNA, 168 nt
Filed under: Tentoriceps cristatus (crested hairtail)
Lineage: Eukaryota; Metazoa; Chordata; Actinopteri; Scombriformes; Trichiuridae
Description: partial 12S rRNA
Source: RNAcentral